GAUGAACGCUGGCGGCGUGCCUAAUACAUGCAAGUCGAGCGAACGGACGAGAAGCUUGCUUCUCUGGUGUUAGCGGCGGACGGGUGAGUAACACGUGGAUAACCUACCUAUAAGACUGGGAUAACUUCGGGAAACCGGAGCUAAUACCGGAUAAUAUUUUGAACCGCAUGGUUCAAAAGUGAAAGACGGUCUUGCUGUCACUUAUAGAUGGAUCCGCGCUGCAUUAGCUAGUUGGUAAGGUAACGGCUUACCAAGGCAACGAUGCAUAGCCGACCUGAGAGGGUGAUCGGCCACACUGGAACUGAGACACGGUCCAGACUCCUACGGGAGGCAGCAGUAGGGAAUCCUCCGCAAUGGGCGAAAGCCUGACGGAGCAACGCCGCGUGAGUGAUGAAGGUCUUCGGAUCGUAAAACUCUGUUAUUAGGGAAGAACAUAUGUGUAAGUAACUGUGCACAUCUUGACGGUACCUAAUCAGAAAGCCACGGCUAACUACGUG
This 497-nucleotide ribosomal RNA is filed under the name uncultured bacterium. RNAcentral's name for it is "partial 16S ribosomal RNA". It matches the Rfam family "Bacterial small subunit ribosomal RNA", at positions 28 to 507 of the family's 1533-position model. The record is from RNAcentral.